GAUGAACGCUAGCUACAGGCUUAACACAUGCAAGUCGAGGGGAAACGGCAUUAAGUGCUUGCACUUUUUGGAAGUCGACCGGCGCACGGGUGAGUAACGCGUAUCCAACCUUCCCAUGACUAAGGGAUAACCUGCCGAAAGGCAGACUAAUACCUUAUGGUCUUCACUGACGGCAUCAGAUGUGAAGUAAAGAUUUAUCGGUUAUGGAUGGGGAUGCGUCUGAUUAGCUUGUUGGCGGGGUAACGGCCCACCAAGGCAACGAUCAGUAGGGGUUCUGAGAGGAAGGUCCCCCACAUUGGAACUGAGACACGGUCCAAACUCCUACGGGAGGCAGCAGUGAGGAAUAUUGGUCAAUGGGCGAGAGCCUGAACCAGCCAAGUAGCGUGCAGGAUGACGGCCCUAUGGGUUGUAAACUGCUUUUGUAUGGGGAUAAAGUCAAUCACGUGUGAUUGUUUGCAGGUACCAUACGAAUAAGGACCGGCUAAUUCCGUG
Molecule: ribosomal RNA, 492 nt
Filed under: uncultured bacterium
Lineage: Bacteria
Description: partial 16S ribosomal RNA
Rfam family: Bacterial small subunit ribosomal RNA
Source: RNAcentral